AUUGAACGCUGGCGGCAGGCCUAACACAUGCAAGUCGAACGAGUGGCGGACGGGUGAGUAAUGUCUGGGAAACUGCCCGAUGGAGGGGGCUAACUACUGGAACCGGUAGCUAAUACCGCAUACCAUCCUAUGGGCCCAGAUUGGAUUAGCUAGUAGGGGGGGUAACGGCUCACCAAGGCGACGAUGCCUAGCUGGCCUGAGAGGAUGACCGGCCACACUGGAACUGAGACACGGCCCAGACUCCUACGGGAGGCAGCAGUGGGGAAUAUUGCACAAUGGGCGAAAGUCUGACCCAGCAACGCCGCGUGUGUGAAGAAGGUUUUCGGGUCGUAAAGCUCUUUCAGUGGGGAAGCGUUAUCUGACCAAGAAGCCACGGCUAACUACGUGCCAGCAGCCGCGGUAAUUC
Molecule: ribosomal RNA, 406 nt
Filed under: uncultured bacterium
Lineage: Bacteria
Description: partial 16S ribosomal RNA
Rfam family: Bacterial small subunit ribosomal RNA
Source: RNAcentral